RNAcentral lists this long non-coding RNA (971 nucleotides) under Sarcophilus harrisii (Tasmanian devil). RNAcentral describes it as "lncRNA (ENSSHAG00000027009.1)". The record is from RNAcentral. Lineage: Eukaryota; Metazoa; Chordata; Mammalia; Dasyuromorphia; Dasyuridae.
AUCUCUAUAAAGAUACAGAGGCUGGAGCACAAGAGCAUCGGUGGGAAGAAAAACUCUAGGCAAUAACCCUCAGUUUCCAAAGUCAAUCUGCCUGCCAAUUUCUUCACUUGCCUGACAUUUGGCCUUGCCAUAGCCUCUUCCUGAAUCCAGCCUCAAGUCUGCAACAUUGAUUAUUUGAGAUCAAUUCAUAAUAUAUCAGGGCAUGACUCUAUGUAAGCCGCUCAAUUGGGAGAGAUUUUUCCAUUUGAUUCUAGGUGACAUUUUGGAGCAUAUUAUUUUUUGUGGGUUUUUUUUUGAGCUUAUUAUUAAUGGAUGGUUUGUGAGCCAUUAGAAAGGAAAGCAGCAAUCCCAAAGAGUGAGCAUGAGCUCAUUUAUUACAAGUCGUUCCGAAUAGCUCUUAGAGUUACUACAUUGGGGGGAAUGCCCAGACACGGGUUAGACAUAAUCUGGCCCUGCUCAAUCUUGUCUCGUAUUACUUCAGUCCAUGCACACGAGCUCCCCUCUAUGUCCCGGCCAGAGUGGGCAGCUCUCUGCUCACAUCGGCUCUGUCCUGGGUUGAUGGUCUUCCCUGAUGAACAUUGUGGAACCCUUUCCUGCCCAACCCACUCUGCACUAGAUAUGGUCUGAGACCUGCUCCUUUCUACUUAGCAAAUGGGAAUAAAGGAAGCAGCUGGGCACAUGGAGAGAGCAGGGCUCUGGAGCCAGAAAACUGGUGCUUACUACCCCUGGGACCUGGGAAAUUACUCUACUGGCCUCGGUUUCCUGAACUGUAGUUGGAAUAAUUGAGUCUCUGAGGUUUUGGUUACUUCUAAAGUGAUCCUCAAUUUAAAUGUUCCACUGGUGCUUAUGGCUUCUGCUGGUGUGACCUUGUUUACCUUCAGUUCCCUCUAUAACAAAGGGUUCUUUCCAAUUCUAGACCCGAUGAUCCUAGGAUACAAAGUCUCCCUCCCCCAAGCCCAUGCAGCUUUUUG